AGCGGAUACGUCGAUUGCCCCUGAUCUUCUCCCGAUGGAAGAAGCCGACUCCGGUGAUUAGUCGGUCUUUUAUUUUUACUUUUCUUUGGUAUACUUGUAAUCGGGCUUCGGCCCAAUUUUGUAAACUUAGCUCGAGCUUUAAUGAAAUCAAAAUCUUCUUAACUUCAACUUUUUCUGUCUCUAUGUAUCCUGGGAUGUGUCUUGUGUGACUCGCCGAAGUGCUUUCGAAUGCAUAAGUCGUAAGCCCAACGUACUAGUUAGGAUGUUCGGUAGGAUCCCAGGUAAUGAUCCAGAAU
This 296-nucleotide long non-coding RNA is filed under the name Elaeis guineensis (African oil palm). RNAcentral's name for it is "long non-coding RNA (EGUI_LNC050621)". The record is from RNAcentral. Lineage: Eukaryota; Viridiplantae; Streptophyta; Magnoliopsida; Arecales; Arecaceae.